Long non-coding RNA from Gallus gallus (chicken), 326 nucleotides. RefSeq lists it as uncharacterized. The record is from RefSeq and is a predicted model, not a curated record. The transcript has 4 exons. Lineage: Eukaryota; Metazoa; Chordata; Aves; Galliformes; Phasianidae.
GGUCACAAAAGGUCUUAAAGCAUUGCCAAGGUUAAUGGCAGAAGAGGGAUCGGAACGCGGAGCAGACCACAAGGAUUUCACCACCUCCUCCACACAACCGAGGGAGAAGUUAUCUGAAUGUUCUUUUCUGGGAAUAGAAAAGGAAGAAUUGUUGGGCUGCGGGUUGCUAUUGCAUGUCCAUAGUCUGUUACCAGAUAGAAGGUGUCUGAUCUGAUCACACUGCACGUCACAAUUCAGCUUGGCCUAUCUCCCUGCACUGUGAGGAGUAAAUAAGUACUAUUAAAAACAAACAAACAAACAAACAACGAGUUACCUGCAGAAGUUGC